UAGGGGAUCUUGCACAAUGGGCGAAAGCCUGAUGCAGCGAUGCCGCGUGAGGGAUGAAGGCCUUCGGGUCGUAAACCUCUUUCAGUAGGGAAGAAGCCACGGGUCACCGUGGUGACGGUACCUGCAGAAGAAGCCCCGGCUAACUACGUGCCAGCAGCCGCGGUAAAACGUAGGGGGCGAGCGUUGCCCGGAUUCACUGGGCGUAAAGCGGGUGUAGGCGGUUCCUUAAGUCGGUUGUGAAAUCCCACGGCUCAACCGUGGAAUUGCGUCCGAUACUGGGGAACUUGAGGACGGUAGAGGUCGGUGGAAUUCCCGGUGUACCGGUGAAAUGGGCAGAUAUCGGGAGGAACACCAGUGGCGAAGGCGGCCGACUGGGCCGAUCCUGACGCUGAGACCCGAAAGCCAGGGUAGCGAACCGG
This 419-nucleotide ribosomal RNA is filed under the name uncultured bacterium. Its description in RNAcentral is "bacterial SSU rRNA". It matches the Rfam family "Bacterial small subunit ribosomal RNA", at positions 355 to 776 of the family's 1533-position model. The record is from RNAcentral.